Molecule: ribosomal RNA, 292 nt
Filed under: Klebsiella pneumoniae
Lineage: Bacteria; Pseudomonadati; Pseudomonadota; Gammaproteobacteria; Enterobacterales; Enterobacteriaceae
Description: partial 23S ribosomal RNA
Rfam family: Bacterial large subunit ribosomal RNA
Source: RNAcentral
CAGUGGGAGCACCUUCGGGUGUGACUGCGUACCUUUUGUAUAAUGGGUCAGCGACUUAUAUUCUGUAGCAAGGUUAACCGUAUAGGGGAGCCGCAGGGAAACCGAGUCUUAACUGGGCGUUAAGUUGCAGGGUAUAGACCCGAAACCCGGUGAUCUAGCCAUGGGCAGGUUGAAGGUUGGGUAACACUAACUGGAGGACCGAACCGACUAAUGUUGAAAAAUUAGCGGAUGACUUGUGGCUGGGGGUGAAAGGCCAAUCAAACCGGGAGAUAGCUGGUUCUCCCCGAAAGCU